GUAAGAUUUCCUAGAGGUGGAACCUCCAAGCCCACUCAGAUACUUAAUGGGAGCCGCCGUUAUGAUGAUCGGAGUCGUAUUACCCGUCGGUUACAUGAUGUUCCGGAACAAGCGCGUUCCCUCAUCUUCUUCCUAUUCCAAACAGACGUAGGGACAAGGUUCUGAUAUAGAGACGUAACCGAAUGCGAGAGCUGCGAUUUACUGGAUCUGGAUUUGUCAGGUUAUGUUUGAAGUUGAUUUAUAGGAGACUUAACCAGAUUCAAAAUUAGGUCAAUUGUAAAUGCAAUGAGAUCCUGUUUCUUGUUAGUGGGUUCGUCUCCAAAUUCUGAACUCCGAUACCAAGAAAUUAUAUGAUUGGGACUUGCAUUCCAUUUUUUCUCUCGGAUCUGAAAUCUCUUGUAGCUCCCUAAUUUCUAUUAUGGGUUGGGGAAUAUUACACCGUAAAAUGUCGUUGUUCUUUUAUAUUUUA
Molecule: long non-coding RNA, 469 nt
Organism: Neltuma alba
Lineage: Eukaryota; Viridiplantae; Streptophyta; Magnoliopsida; Fabales; Fabaceae
Exons: 2
Source: RefSeq, a predicted model, not a curated record